RNAcentral lists this transfer RNA (71 nucleotides) under Dipodomys ordii (Ord's kangaroo rat). It matches the Rfam family "tRNA". Rfam says of the family: Transfer RNA (tRNA) molecules are approximately 80 nucleotides in length. Their secondary structure includes four short double-helical elements and three loops (D, anti-codon, and T loops). Lineage: Eukaryota; Metazoa; Chordata; Mammalia; Rodentia; Heteromyidae. The record is from Rfam by way of RNAcentral.
UGGAAGUUAGCUCAAUGGUAGAGUGCUUGCCUCACAUGCAUGAAGCCCUGGGUUCAAUUCCUCAGUACCAC